Molecule: long non-coding RNA, 2481 nt
Filed under: Octopus sinensis (East Asian common octopus)
Lineage: Eukaryota; Metazoa; Mollusca; Cephalopoda; Octopoda; Octopodidae
Description: uncharacterized LOC118766562, transcript variant X1
Source: RNAcentral
GGAUGUAGUAGUAGGAGUAACAAAAUAGUAGUGGUAGGAGUAGUAACGUAAUGCUGGAGCAAGUAGCAGCAGCAGCAGAGACGUGGUGGUGGUAGAAGUAGGUAUAACUGACGUGGUAGCGGAAGAUUCAGUAUCCAGAAGUAGACAUUGUAUAAAAGAGGAAGAGAGAGAGUAGAAGGGAAGGAUUAAGUGGGAGUAUGAGCGAACUCCACGUCCCUCCUACCACUACACUACGCUAAACCACAAGGAAGCCUCUACAUGGUCUAUCAGCCUGCUAGAAACAACAGCCAAUUUCCCGCGAUCAUAUCUUGAUGUUAUAAAAAAAAUCCGAAAAUAAUGCGAUGGUCGUAUUUGGAACAUCUUUGAUCAUAGACCUGCUCAUCAAGGUUUGCCUUGGGCUGAACAAUACUAAGGAUUUCGCCACAAUAUUUCACUACAACUACCAACAAUAUAAUCCAAAUAUUACUUAGCACCUGCCAAGGACUAAAUCUAUUCACCUUAUUGAGGAAUAUCUUGAAAUAACAUUAGAAUCGUUUGUUUGUUUCUCUUUUAUUUUAUUUAAUGUUCCAGUUCAGUGUUUUGUGCGGAUAAUUCUGUAAAAAUCGAUUUUGAUUUCAUUAAAAUUGGAUGUCCCACCGAACACUCUCCUCUCUUCGUUCAUUAGACAACAACCGAGGGAUUUCUGUGGGUUUUGACGAAUCCACCCGAAAGCUGAGACGUGUAACCGAUCCGUAUUUUUAGUGUGACUAACCCCACUUUCAAACUCCCUUUUAUACACUUUAAAAUCGGUGUCACACGAGCACGUGUAUUUAACAGAAUUUGCUUUAUGUAAGGCCCAAAGGGACCACAGUCAUUAGACUGCGGCCAUGCUGGGACACCACCUUGACAUUGUUGAAUGUAUCUUUGCAUUUUCAAGACAGUCGUGUACGAUUUGAGAGAAAUUUGACUGCGAUAUCUAGUAGGUCGAACAACUAUGUUGAAGAUCCUUCGUAAUGGUAGAUGUAUCUACCAGGAAAAGAAAAAAAUCCACAAAUAAUGAUGUUAAAGAGAGAAAAAGCGGAGUAAAUAAUCUUCACUCAACUUUCAUUACAGAAAGUGAAUGACUAUUUCUACUAUUGUAUUUUGCGUUAUUGAAUGUAAAUAAAUUUCAUUAUUUUGGUCAGAUAUUCUGCAACAGAAGAAGAAACCCAGUACUUUUGCUCAUUAUUAACCAGAAUAAUUUUACAACUUCCAUACAUUCAAUUUGCGAUUAUUAAGUGAGCCGGUAAUUAGUUUUAAGAAUUAUUUUAAUUAAUGACACUUAAAAAGACAUGUUAAAUUUCAAUUACGCCGCUUCUCUCCCAUUAUACCUGAACGAGUAUCAGCGAAUAUCAUUGGUUUACUCUACCUCUAUUAUAUUUCCUGCUGGAAAAAUGGGUCUUGUCUAUUUUGACUACCACCGAAGUUCCAUUCUUCAAGUCCGUGUCAUCACUUUGGAUAGGAAGUUGUCCAAUAAAACGAAUACCCUCAUCUUUGCACAACUGGGCCCAGUCGCUGCCAGUUUUCGCAGCAGUAUCUUGCAAUAGCAUAUCUUUAGUCCAAGAAUAAAUGAAAAUCACUAACUGUGACAGAUCCAGCUUAGAUUUAUCAAAGACCGAAUCAGUUCUUAUAGACUUCCUAUUUUUACAACGGCUGCAGUACCACCUAUAUUUGUCUUCGCAACCUGUAUAUUUAUUUACACCACAUGGAAUGUUGCAUGUCGUGCAUGUGUAUGUGUUUCUAAUCAACCGACGUUUGGCCAACCAUUCCAAAAUAUCCAAAGAACCCGGAUCACCAAUUGACUUAGACAAAGAAUUUAAGGUCCACUUUUCAUCUCGGAUUUCUGCAUCUGUCAAAACUUGGUCGACAAUUUUCAGUUUCUGCUUUGGACCUCUACGAGCCAUGUUAAAUGAUUUGCUAAUAAAACUAUUUUAUUUCUCAUCUUAUGCACUGUAUAUCAGCUAGUUUACAAUUUGUUGUCCAAUCUCAUCUAAACUUUGGUAAAAUGAAAGCAAAAACGGCGUAAUUAAAAUUGGAAUCAGCAGUAAUGGAGAAAGUCAAAAAUCCGACAUGGAUUUCAUGAAUUGCCGAAACGAAAAGAAAUAAGAAUGAAAUGCUUUAAAAUAACCAAAGUAGACCUCCCACUCCAACUUUUGUUAUUCCUUUUUAACUGUCAAAGUAAUUUUCAGAUUUUUCUGAUUUUUGACAUGGGAUUGUGCAAAAUUAAAUUAAUGAAAACAAAAGAAAUUGUUAAAAAUAUCAAAAUUUAUUUACCCCUCCCCCAACAUACAUAAAGCGUGAAUCGUGAGGAAACACAAAUUUCUUAGAAUUACAUAAAAACAGGCGAAACACGACUGACUGUGCCUUCAUAUUAGCUCUUUACCAUAUUUGUUAACUAUAUUCCAGAUUUAUUUAGUCUCAGCACCAAUUAUAUACAGUAGGAUUAUAUUACACAAAUAGAGA